This 365-nucleotide ribosomal RNA is filed under the name uncultured Acetobacter sp. RNAcentral's name for it is "bacterial SSU rRNA". It matches the Rfam family "Bacterial small subunit ribosomal RNA", at positions 355 to 736 of the family's 1533-position model. The record is from RNAcentral. Lineage: Bacteria; Pseudomonadati; Pseudomonadota; Alphaproteobacteria; Acetobacterales; Acetobacteraceae.
UGGGGAAUAUUGGACAAUGGGGGCAACCCUGAUCCAGCAAUGCCGCGUGUGUGAAGAAGGUCUUCGGAUUGUAAAGCACUUUCGACGGGGACGAUGAUGACGGUACCCGUAGAAGAAGCCCCAGCUAACUUCGUGCCAGCAGCCGCGGUAAUACGAAGGGGGCUAGCGUUGCUCGGAAUGACUGGGCGUAAAGGGCGUGUAGGCGGUUUGUACAGUCAGAUGUGAAAUCCCCGGGCUUAACCUGGGAGCUGCAUUUGAUACGUGCAGACUAGAGUGUGAGAGAGGGUUGUGGAAUUCCCAGUGUAGAGGUGAAAUUCGUAGAUAUUGGGAAGAACACCGGUGGCGAAGGCGGCAACCCUGGCUCA